This 68-nucleotide transfer RNA is filed under the name Apaloderma vittatum (bar-tailed trogon). It matches the Rfam family "tRNA". Rfam says of the family: Transfer RNA (tRNA) molecules are approximately 80 nucleotides in length. Their secondary structure includes four short double-helical elements and three loops (D, anti-codon, and T loops). The record is from Rfam by way of RNAcentral. Lineage: Eukaryota; Metazoa; Chordata; Aves; Trogoniformes; Trogonidae.
GGCUGGUUAGCUCAGUUGAGCGUAGCACUAACAGUGCUAAGGUCGUGGGUUCGAUUCCCGUUCGGUCC